This 2660-nucleotide non-coding RNA is filed under the name Pan troglodytes (chimpanzee). Lineage: Eukaryota; Metazoa; Chordata; Mammalia; Primates; Hominidae. The record is from RNAcentral.
GCGCGGUGACGUCACCGCAUCUUUAUAAAGGGCCGCCUUGGGGCGCGAAAGGUUCGUGAGGUGUAGUCGCGGCAACUAGGAGGUGCACCCACCACUAGAAUUUGAACAUCCUAAGAACAGGUAUUUUUGUCUCUGCUUUGCUGAUGUAUCCUCAGCAACCGGAACUGCCUGACAUCUGAUCCUUUCUGUGAGACACCAGGCUGUUGAGGAAGAAUCUAUGGCAACAUUGUAUCUAUUAAUAUACAGCUUCUGUAUUUAUCAGGCCCAGUUCUGGUGAUGAUUUCACUUUUGACAGAAGCUGUCCCUCAAAAGCAAACAUGCAAUAGAAGAAACAGAUCUCAAUGGAGUCUCACUCUGUCACCCAGGAUGGAGUACAGUGGCGUGAUCUCGGCUCACUGCAAGCUCCGCCUCCUGGGUUCAUGCCAUUCUCCUGCCUUAGCCUCCCGAGUAGCUGGGACUACAGGCGCCCGCCACCACGCCCGGCUAAUUUUUGUAUUUUUAGUAGAGACAGGGUUUCACCGUGUUAGCCAGGAUGGUCUCGAUCUCCUGACCUCGUGAUCCGCCCCCCUCAGCCUCCCAAAGUGCUGGGAUUACAGGCGUGAGUCACUGUGCCCAGCGAAGUUUAGUAUUUUUUGUAGAGACAGAGUUUCACCAUGUUGGCCAGGCUGGUCUUGCACUCAUGGCCUCAAGUGAUCCACCUGCCUCGGCCUCCGAAAGUGCUGGGAUUACAGGCGUAAGCCACUGUGCCUGGCCUUAAAUGGGUAAAUUUCAUAUGGUAUAUGAAGUAUAUUUCACUAAAACUUUAAGAAAACAUUAUACAGUACUGUUCAAAUUUUAAGUGGUCCAAUUUAAAUGCACUAUUGUAUACAAUUCUAUGUAAUGUCCUUACCAUGGUAUAUGUUAACUAUAAAUAUCUAUGCCCCUACCCUUAGUAUCAAAGCAUAUAUUAUAUGCCAGUGAGCCAAGCCCCACAUGUCUGUGAAAUGUGGUCUUCUAGCCAUAGAAGUAGCUUGUGCUCCUAGGGUAUUCCUUGAGGCUCUGUAUGAAGAAUGUCCAUUUGUUUGAGUACCUAACCUACAGAAUAUUCCUGACCAUGGAAAUGUGAUAGAGACGAGUAAGCACAUGGACCAAAAGGCCUGGAGGCUCAUCAUUUAAGGUACAAGCCAAUUAUGUAGUCUUUGAAAGAAUGCUUUGAAAUUCAGCUUGCUUGAUUCAAUUCCCAAUAUUUUCAUUUGUAUUAAAAGAUUUGGCCCUUACAGGUUAAAAACAAUGUCAGUAUAACCAAGUGACAUUCAAAUUUUGGCUCCCAACAUGUGAUAUGACAUCACUUCAUGUGAAAAUAGCGAAGCUCCAAACAUUUUCUUUCAGUCACCUUAUUAAGCUCGCUGAGCUCUGACAGCCUAAUGAAAGGCUAAGGGGGAAGAAAAUGUCCCAACUUCUACACUGUUGAAGAUGGGCUAAUAAGAGGUUAGCUUGCAAGAAUCAUUCUUUCUUGGCAUCCUGCUUCUGAUUGCUCGGCUUUCAGCUUACACCCAGCAUGAAAAUUUAAUUUCCUCGCAGUUGAAGGUAGUUUAAAGCUUAUUACUCACAUGCUAAAAUGUUGAUGUAUCUGUUUUUGUGCUUGUUUUCUGGAUGAUUGGAAUGCUCUGCAGUGAUGUUCAUAUCAGCAGUACAGCGCUGGACUUCCUAGUGAAGAAAACAGCAAGAUUAUAGACACAGUUUAGAACAAAGGAACACCAUAUACAUUUAAAGGCAUAAAGUAUUUACUCACUCCCUGGCCACAGCCACCGUUACCUUCUGAAUCCCAACUUCGGAUAUAAUUAUUGAUAUAUUUAUAACGAGUUUAUGAAGAAUGUGAAAAAGGUAUAAAGAUUUCAUUAUUUACUAUUUCAUCAAUCAUCUACUUUAUUCUAGUUUUUGACCUAGUCCCUGAGAUGUAAAACAAUAUCUCUUUUUGAAUACAUCAUAGUCUAUGGGUGAGAAAAAUAUUCAAAAAGAUAGUCAAACAUGAUGAAUAUAAAAGAGGCCUGAAAAAGCUCUGAUGGGAGCACAGAACAGAGGAAGGCUUUAGACAGGUGAAAAAAUUUACCUAAGUCUUAAAAGAAGAAAGGGAAUUUCUAAGAAGUAUAAUCUCUACCAUGAUUUGCAAUAUGCUUACAGGCCUUAUAGCCUCAUUUUAUAAUUGUGAGGGUGCAUUGACUCUAAAGACUCAGUGCUGAAAUAACCCUAAAAAUAGCCCAACUAAUGGUCAUAUCUCAUAUAUACAGUCUUGACAAAUUAUUUGUGAACUCUAGUAUUUUAAAAGUUAUCCUUCUUUGGAAAAAUUGCAGUAGCAGAAAUAACGCUCUUAUCCUACCUUGGCCGUGGAUUUAAACGUCAUCCAUUAGCCUAAUACAACAUUGCUGAAAAGCCAAAUUUUUCUACACUAUAUGCUUCAAACCCAAGAAAGUACUGGAGCUGACUAAUAAGGGAAGUCAUUAGCAGUACACAGCUGCUACAAAGAGCCUGAACAAAGUAACACAAAAUUAUCAGGAGAAAUGUUUUACACAGAACAGAUGUAGCAGAGUUUAGAAGCAUGCAGACUUUUUUUUUCCACAAAGGAGUUGCCUAGUAAUUAUGCAUGUUUUCCAUAGUAUUUACAUUAAACAUAAUGAAAACAA